GAAGGGGGGAGGGAAAGACUUUUCUCUGCCCUGGGACAAUUUGUAGAAAACGACAUGUGGGAGAGAGUUGAAAUGAACAGAAAAAAAUUCUACUUUCUCUUUUUUUUUAAAGUCCAGCCAUAACCAGGCUACCAGGACACAUGAUACUGCUAUUAAAGAACACCUAAAAAGGACCGGCUUUAAGGGCUUUGAGAAAGAAAACAGAAAUUUCCACCUUCGUUGUUCAGGUUUUUCCUUUACAGGAGUUGCUGCAGCUUCAUCACUAGGAGGUAAUGCAUCGCACAGCAAAAUCCUUUGGGACUCUAGGAUGUGGACUUCACUUGAAGACCAACGGCGAAAAUGGCUCAAGCAAAUGAAGCAAAUGUGCCUCCGACAAAAUUGUGCUGUCCUGUCCUCUGUUAUGACCAUUUUAUUAUGGUGACUGGUGAAAGAGGCAACGUUUAAUCUAAGUUCUAUGAAACUAUCUGUAAAGAAAAUAACAUAUUUUUCUACUUUGAAAGGUACGUUCCACAUGAAUUUACAUUUUUAAGUAUGUUUAAGAAUUUUUUUCCUUUUAAAGAUGGUGACAUCUGAAUCAUAAAAAUAGUCUAUCGAUGUUUAUAUUUGUGACAAAAUAUCUCUACAGAUAUAUAUGAUCACAACAGUCGUCAGUAUAUUUUUAAGAAUAUCAAAAUAGCUUUGGCUGAUGUGCUUAAAAAGUGCCUUGUUUCAUUAGAUUCUGCAGAAUGUAAAGCCCUCUUUCAAAACUGAUAUAGCAUUUCUAGUUGCAAGAUCGUUUUAUAUUGUGAACUUUUUAUUAAAUAUGCAUAUUCUAGUAGCCUCUAGAGACUUUUAAUUUAAAACAUAAAUUAUAUGUAAUUUCAAACUCUGCUAUCUCUGACUUUAGUCACAGAACUCACUUUUGGGACUGCUACACAUGGCUAACGGUAAUAUAUCAAUGCUUCCAAUAGACGUUUUAGCUAUAUGAGGUCAUUACAAAUAUAGCUUUAGCUCUUCCUUAAGUAGACCCCAUUGUUAAUAUAAAUAUGUAUCUGUAAUUAUUGACAUUUAUAUGAUUUGGCCCCUGUACUAAAUUAUUGAUACAGUGAUGAUAAAAGGGCCUUACCAACUCUUACCUAAAUAAACUGUCCUUCCUAACUACCUUCCAUGGAACUGGAUUCUUGUAAAUAAUGUUACUCAUGUGUUUACUAGCAAGUCAAAAUUUAUACAUAUUUUUCUAAAAGUGAGUUAUCUUGCUGUUUGGGGUGAAAAGUACUGUCUGCUGUUUGAAAAAGAAUGCUGAGAGUCAAGCCAUGCAGAAUUCUUCACAACUUGCAGGGGAUGUGCACUUUCCCAUAUCAUUAGAUAGCCCACUUGAAUACUUAGUCACAUUUGUAAUUUGUUUAAGAUCCUAAAACAGAAGAUCUUAUGCUAGCAAAAGGGUGUGUUAUUUUAAAAUAACAAGUGGCUGUUGAUUUUUCAUCACUGCUUCCAAAGAGACUAGAGGGUUUGCGUUAAAAGUUGAAAUGGUUGUUCAAAAGGUAGAGUUUGGAAGACACAGACUAGCAAAGUGCAACAUGGAAGCUCUCCCAACACAGUGGCAGCCUCAACAUUUCUAACGAGAAAAGGAAAAGACAGUUGAGAUCCCAUAGGAAUGCAGUAUUUGGGGAGAGAACUAAGACUCCUUUCACGAAUGGAGAGAGAACCCCAGUGAAUUCUGGACUAUCAGCUAUCUUAGUGGCAUGUGGAGGUUUAAGAAUGAUUUGGAUCACAAGCUGAAACGUUUUCCAGACCUUCAGAUUGCAACUUUCUACUAAGCCAGCAAUUUUAUGCUUUCCUCUCCCUGACUCCAACAGUACCACAAUAUAAGCAGCCAGAUUUUCUUCUGCAUUGUGUUUUUUAUCCAUUCAGCCAAAAUUAACAGUCUUUGAGGAUGAAGUAUGCCAAGUGAAUUUGAAUCUUGCGGACUAAAAUACACCUAAAGUUGAUGGAUACAUUCGUGCCUACUGCUGAAAUCUACCAAUUACUCAGAACUACGUUAACUUACCAUAGAAACAUCUCAUCUAAUAGCACAGAUGAUGUUGAACUAACUAAUUACAUUAUGGCACAUAGACAAUGAAAAACAUAACGAAGAUGACAGCACAGCAACAGCAGAUGCUGCACAAAAGAAAAAUUAGAAAAAUAUUGCUCUGCAAAAUGCUCUCAGUUAAGGUUCCCUCUGUUAAAAUUAAUCACAAAAAUUAGUGAAGAUUAGAUUUCAGAAAAAGAUAUGAACAUUAUAAUGGUAUUUGGAAAAUGUCAUUAAGCCAUUUAAAACUCUGCUCCUUCAGAAGAGGUAAUUCCCAUUUUUCUUAUCACUAUCAGUUGCAAGACUAGUAAACAUUGUAGUGCCUAUGGCGCAGUUUCUUGGUAGAGUAUCUCUUCCAAUAAGAAGAGCUCCUGAAGGUUCUUCCAGAGCCUGAAUUUGGUAGCUUCCAGCCAUUAUAGCCUUAAAUAAUUAGACAGCUUAGACUUUGUUUUAGCUUGGCGUUUGCUCUAUUCUUGUGCUCUUAGCUGUCAGAGAGCUAGAAUAACAGUGAUAGUUGAUUAUCCGUAGCACGUCUUGUUACUUUAUAUAUUUUAAAUUGUAACAGAUCCUAAAUGACAAAUCUGAAACUGCUGAAUAUGUUUAAAUGUAAUAUGUAUCUGGAGAUUACAUCCAGAUGACAUAUUGCAUAGACAUAUGAUAAAAAAAAUGCACCACUUACUUUUAACCACAGUGCUGGUCCUCUUCCCCCUUCCCUCGUGGAAGCUUGCCAUGCGCUCCCUGUCUACUUUAUGUAUAGAUUCUUCAGAUAGCCCUGUCUAUGGAGAAAGAAAUGGUGUAUUCCCCUAUAUUUAAAUCAUACCUAUAGUGCUACUCAAAUUUUAAUAUUUUAUUGGAUAUAUAAUAAAAACAGAGUACAUCUAUGAUGUCCUACGUUUUCCCAGGUACAUUUUUCCCAGCUGGACAUAUUUUAAAUAAAUUUUAUCUGGUUACUGGGCACUCUUCUCCUCAGUCCCCUGCAGGCCAGGGAUGCAGAAAUAAAGGAGACCCACAGGUGGCGCUGUGGUUAAAGUACACCUGGAUUUUGAUUACAGAGACAAGAUUUAGUAGUCGGGCUGUCAGAGGGAAGUUGGUCUGCUUCUUAGUACAAACGCAUAUAUUUGUAAAUAAAUUUCCCUGGCUAGAAUUUCAGAUACUUGUGCCGGCACAUCGCUUCUACACUAGACUGUAAGAGGAGCAGGUUUAAAAUAUUUUGUUGCCUUCAGCAAUCGAGAGGCAGCGCACCCACACAAACUCGUAAUUUAGUGACGCUGCAGCCAUAAAACGGGUAGUUGACAACAGCAGUUAACUGCACCAGGCGAGCCGUGCAGCGACCCGUCCCCAUUUAGGAUGACCCUGUCCCGUCGGGCACGGCCGCGUUAGUCCCUGGGAACACGCUGCAGCCGCCUGCCCCCUCCUGCAGUCACAGUGAAGUCCGACUGUUCUCCCUGCGUUGGCUGCUCCUUACGUCAGCGGUCUGGAAUCAAGAAACUAACAUCACCAAGUUUUGUGUUGUUUAACGGAUCCUGGAAAUGUGUAAUUUAGCUGACUCUUUAGCUGCAGUUAGCUCUGCGAGAC
Non-coding RNA from Struthio camelus australis, 3622 nucleotides. The record is from RefSeq and is a predicted model, not a curated record. NCBI's taxonomy places the organism in Eukaryota, Metazoa, Chordata, Aves, Struthioniformes, Struthionidae.